UUAGUAAUUGCGAAUGAACAAGGAUAUGCUUAGCUUGACAAAUGGAGCUAUUGGCUUUGAAUUGUAUUGUGGAAAUGUAUUACCAACAGAGGUGCAGGUGCCAGCCUAUUGAAAUAAAGCGUCAAUGAGGGUGAGAAUCCUGUUUGUCAUGUGCAGCCCUUUGUGCACGGUGUAUAUUUGCUGAGUCACACUCCUUGGCAUUGGAAUGCAAAGUGGGUGGUAAGUUUCAUGUAAAGGUAAACAUGCAAUUGAGACUGAUAGCACACAAGUACCAUGAGGGAAAUAUGAAAAGGACUUUGAAAAGAGAAUUAAAUGAGUUUGUAUUUGCUGAACACAAAGUAAACAGACUUGAUUUGCUUGGUGGGAGUGUUGCACUUGCUUGACAAGAGCUUUGGGCUGUGGGUGUAAUGAUUCUUUCUUUGCAUGCCAGUUUCUAUUUGUACAUCUGAUUACCUUUGCACAUGAAUGAUAAGUCUCCUGUGGGGGGUGGAUUGCAUGUGCAUGUAAUGAUUUGUGUUUUGAUAAAUGUGUCUGGUGUAUGUGUGUGUUCCUGUGCUUGGGGAUGCUUCCUUCCUUGGACUUACAAGCCCUGACACACACAUGCUGGCAAAAUGCUUCUGCUUGACCCGUCUUGAAACACGGACCAAGGAGUCUAACAGAUGUGCAAAGUUUGAAGGUGGUAUACCUUUGUGUGCAAUGAAAGUGUCAGCUGGGAUAUGUGCACCAGCACCCAAUUAAUUAGCGGACAGAGGUUUGAGUUGGAGCAUAUCUAUUAGGACCCGAAAGAUGGUGAACUAUGCCUGAACAGAAUGAAUUCAGAGGAAACUCUGAUGGAGGUUCGUAUCGAUACUGACGUGCAAAUCGUUCGUCAUAUUUGGGUAUAGGGGCGAAAGACUAAUCGAACCAUCUAGUAGCUGGUUCCCUCCGAAGUUUCCCUCAGGAUAGCUGGAGUUGCUCAGUUUUAUCAGGUAAAGCGAAUGAUUAGAGGAAUUGGGGACAGGUUUGUCUUUGACCUAUUCUCAAACUUUAAAUGGGUAAUAUGUAGUGGUUGCUGUAUGGAACUUCUAAGAUAAAUGGCAAUAUUGGGUGGGCCAUUUUUGGUAAGCAGAACUGGCGAUGAGGGA
Molecule: ribosomal RNA, 1124 nt
Filed under: Alexandrium catenella
Lineage: Eukaryota; Dinophyceae; Gonyaulacales; Pyrocystaceae
Description: partial large subunit ribosomal RNA
Rfam family: Eukaryotic large subunit ribosomal RNA
Source: RNAcentral